UACAGAGGUCUCAAGCGUUGUUCGGAUUCAUUGGGCGUAAAGGGCGCGUAGGCGGCUCGUCAAGUCGGGCGUGAAAUCUCCGGGCUUAACCUGGAAAAGUCGUUCGAUACUGUUGAGCUAGAGUGUGGAAGAGGCUACUGGAAUUCCGUGUGUAGCGGUGAAAUGCGUAGAUAUACGGAGGAACACCAGCGGCGAAGGCG
RNAcentral lists this ribosomal RNA (200 nucleotides) under uncultured prokaryote. Its description in RNAcentral is "partial 16S ribosomal RNA". It matches the Rfam family "Bacterial small subunit ribosomal RNA", at positions 524 to 723 of the family's 1533-position model. The record is from RNAcentral.